GUACUACUGAAGAGUCCCAUACUAGGACGAAACGGCCGUCUAGUGA
This 46-nucleotide non-coding RNA is filed under the name Schistosoma margrebowiei. Lineage: Eukaryota; Metazoa; Platyhelminthes; Trematoda; Strigeidida; Schistosomatidae. The record is from RNAcentral.